GAUGAAGAACGUAGCGAAAUGCGAUACUUGGUGUGAAUUGCAGAAUCCCGUGAACCAUCGAGUCUUUGAACGCAAGUUGCGCCCGAAGCCAUUAGGCCGAGGGCACGCCUGCCUGGGCGUCACACGUCGUUGCCCCCCCAUCUACUCCUUCGGGAUUGCGAGGGGCGGAUGAUGGCCUCCCGUGCGCCCCGUCGCGCGGUUGGCAUAAAUGCCAAGUCCUCGGCGACGCACGCCACGACAAUCGGUGGUUGCGAAACCUCGGUUGCCCGUCGUGUGCGGUCGUCGCGCAUCGAGGGCUCGAAAAAAUUGCCGGGCUCCGGCUCGGCUUUCAACGCGACCCCAGGUCAGGCGGGGUUACCCGCUGAAUUUAAGCAUAUCAAUAAGCGGAGGA
Molecule: unclassified non-coding RNA, 391 nt
Filed under: soil metagenome
Description: partial contains 5.8S ribosomal RNA, internal transcribed spacer 2, and large subunit ribosomal RNA
Rfam family: 5.8S ribosomal RNA (bases 1-122)
Source: RNAcentral